UGGGGAAUAUUGGACAAUGGGCGGAAGCCUGAUCCAGCAACGCCGCGUGAGGGAUGACGGCCUUCGGGUUGUAAACCUCUUUCAGUACCGACGAAGCGAAAGUGACGGUAGGUACAGAAGAAGGACCGGCCAACUACGUGCCAGCAGCCGCGGUAAUACGUAGGGUCCGAGCGUUGUCCGGAAUUAUUGGGCGUAAAGGGCUCGUAGGCGGUUUGUCGCGUCGGGAGUGAAAACAGCGGGCUUAACUCGUUGCUUGCUUUCGAUACGGGCAGACUAGAGGUAUGCAGGGGAGAAUGGAAUUCCUGGUGUAGCGGUGAAAUGCGCAGAUAUCAGGAGGAACACCGGUGGCGAGGCGGUUCUCUGGGCAUUACCUGACGCUGAGGAGCGAAAGUGUGGGGAGCGAACAGGAUUAGUACCCUGGUAGUCCACACCGUAAACGUUGGGCGCUAGGUGUGGGGUCCUUUCCACGGAUUCCGUGCCGUAGCUAACGCAUUAA
RNAcentral lists this ribosomal RNA (496 nucleotides) under uncultured bacterium. RNAcentral's name for it is "partial 16S ribosomal RNA". It matches the Rfam family "Bacterial small subunit ribosomal RNA", at positions 355 to 863 of the family's 1533-position model. The record is from RNAcentral.